GAUGAACGCUGGCGGCGUGCUUAACACAUGCAAGUCGAACGAAGCACUUUAUUUGAUUUCCUUCGGGACUGAUUAUUUUGUGACUGAGUGGCGGACGGGUGAGUAACGCGUGGGUAACCUGCCUUGUACAGGGGGAUAACAGUUGGAAACGGCUGCUAAUACCGCAUAAGCGCACGGCAUCGCAUGAUGCAGUGUGAAAAACUCCGGUGGUAUAAGAUGGACCCGCGUUGGAUUAGCUAGUUGGUGAGGUAACGGCCCACCAAGGCGACGAUCCAUAGCCGACCUGAGAGGGUGACCGGCCACACUGGGACUGAGACACGGCCCAAACUCCUACGGGAGGCAGCAGUGGGGAAUAUUGCACAAUGGGCGAAAGCCUGAUGCAGCGACGCCGCGUGAGCGAAGAAGUAUUUCGGUAUGUAAAGCUCUAUCAGCAGGGAAGAUAAUGACGGUACCUGACUAAGAAGCACCGGCUAAAUACGUG
This 481-nucleotide ribosomal RNA is filed under the name uncultured bacterium. RNAcentral describes it as "partial 16S ribosomal RNA". It matches the Rfam family "Bacterial small subunit ribosomal RNA", at positions 28 to 507 of the family's 1533-position model. The record is from RNAcentral.